AUCAACAUCUUGCAGUCUUUAUCAUUGGUACUAUGUCCUACUGAAGCUAAGCAGGGCUGCACCCGGUCAGUACCUGGAUGGGAGACCACAUGGGAAAGCUAGGUUGCUGUCGAAA
Molecule: ribosomal RNA, 115 nt
Filed under: Danio rerio (zebrafish)
Lineage: Eukaryota; Metazoa; Chordata; Actinopteri; Cypriniformes; Danionidae
Source: RNAcentral